RNAcentral lists this unclassified non-coding RNA (1877 nucleotides) under Hevea brasiliensis (rubber tree). The record is from RNAcentral. Lineage: Eukaryota; Viridiplantae; Streptophyta; Magnoliopsida; Malpighiales; Euphorbiaceae.
AGUUAUUGGGCCGGAAUGGGCCUCAAUCCACUGAUACCAUCGUGGUAUGCUGGUAUCAUGACUUAUAAAACAUAAAACAACCUCCUAUGUUAACGUAACUGUGCAGCUACGACUCUACCUGUUACAACGACGUCGUUUUUGUCCCAUUUUCUACAGCUUAAUUCUCAAUCCAGAACCCUAACAAAACCACUCAACUUGGAACUUUCGCUUCCCACAUCUCUUAAACGAGAAAACGCUUAAACACUCACCUCCAAACACCAAUUCCACCAUCACCAUGGAAAGAGAAGUACUAAUUGCUUCCUCCUCAAUCGACGGUGGUAUCGGUUGCUGGGACCUCCAAACAGGCGCCGAACUCCUACGGUAUAAAUUCUGCGCCUCUACUCCUCACGGCCUUACCUGCGUAGGCCGCAGCUUCCUCGCCUCUUCUCAGCUGCGCGAUCCCCAUGCAUCAUCUGGCUCUAUUCACUAUUGGUCCUGGACUAAGCCUCAAGUAGAGGUCAAGAGCUUUCCGGAGGAGCCAAUAAAGCCGCUUGUUGCUAACAGCGAAGGCGCCUAUAUUGUUGGUGGAGGUUUGUCUGGGCAUAUUUACCUUUGGGAGGUUGCAACUGGUAGAUUGCUUAAGAAAUGGCGUGCUCAUUAUAGGGAAGUUACGUGCUUGGUGUUUACAAAGGAUGAUUCGUUUCUGGUUUCUGGGGCAGAGGAUGGAUCUGUUAGAGUCUGGUCACUUCUCAUGUAUUUAAUUUUCUUGCUUUUGCUUGUAUAUGCCCCUUUCUUACUGCUUAAUUGUCAUGAUUAUUGGGUAUAAUUGCACAUCUUUCACGAAUCAGGAUAUUUGAUGAUUAUCAAACAGAGCAGUCAAGCCAUCUCUAUGAGCACAGCUUUCUAGGGACCACUUCACCGGUAACUGAUAUAGUAACAGGUUAUGGAGGAGGCCGUGCAAUUAUAAUUGCAGCUUCUGAGGAUCGAACUUGUAAGGUGUGGAGCUUAUCUAAGGGGAUAUUAUUGAGAAAUGUUGUGUUUCCCUCAGUAAUUGAUGCAAUUGCUUUAGAACCUGGUGAACAUGUCUUCUAUGCUGGCAGUAGAGAUGGAAAUAUAUACAUUGCUGCACUAAAUGCUGACAGUUCCUCUAGCAAAAGUCAUUGGUUGCAUAUUGUUAGUUCAUUAUAUAACAGUAAGCCUGUUACUUGCUUAGCAUAUAGUGCAAAUGGAAAUUUAUUGCUAUCCGGAUCAGUGGAUGGCGUGAUCCGCAUUUGGGAUGCCACAAGCUAUGAUCCUGUUUGCACCUUUAAACAUGCAACAGGUUUUGUUCAAAAGACCUGAGUUUCUGUUUUUGUAUGUUUCAUAUGAUUAUUCUCUGGUGCCUGAUUUAGUUGUGAUUCUUGUACUGCAGUGGUACAGCCUUUGUAAAAUAUCAUCUUUCCCAUUUUUUGCCACUAAAACUUAUCCCAAUAACUAGAAAGGAUUAGUAAAGCUAGAUAUAUAUUUUCUCUAAUCAUUGUACACUAUAAGCAACAGUCUUCACUCUUCACUUCAGAAACUAAAUGGAAAAAAGGCCUGUUUAACUAUUACCUUGUAACAGAUUAACAAGUCGAUAUGGUAAAUUUUAAUCCCUGAUUGUAAGCAUAUCCGAUACAUGUUUGAACUAUUAGAAACUGUGGGGUAGAAAAUUUCAUAACACCAUAUUAGCUGUAUGUCUAUGUGUUUGCAUGCUAAGGGUAAGCACAAAUUGGUUUGUCAAAUAGAAAAAAUGGCUUAUGGUUUAGUUUGGUUUCUAAUUUUAAGGGACCAAACUGAACCAUAUAUAUAUAUACACCUUUUCAUCUAUAUAAAUGUUGUACAAAGAGAGGCACAAGAAAGAGGGGGAGGGGGAAGAAGUA